This 253-nucleotide ribosomal RNA is filed under the name uncultured bacterium. RNAcentral's name for it is "partial 16S ribosomal RNA". It matches the Rfam family "Bacterial small subunit ribosomal RNA", at positions 524 to 776 of the family's 1533-position model. The record is from RNAcentral.
UACGUAGGGUGCAAGCGUUAAUCGGAAUUACUGGGCGUAAAGCGUGCGCAGGCGGUUAUGUAAGACAGAUGUGAAAUGCCCGGGCUUAACCUGGGAACUGCAUUUGUGACUGCAUGGCUAGAGUGUGUCAGAGGGGGGUAGAAUUCCACGUGUAGCAGUGAAAUGCGUAGAUAUGUGGAGGAACAUCAGUGGCGAAAGCGACUUCCUGGACCAAUACUGACGCUCAUGUGCGAAAGCGUGGGGAGCAAACAGG